Non-coding RNA from Nomia melanderi (Alkali bee), 2049 nucleotides. NCBI's taxonomy places the organism in Eukaryota, Metazoa, Arthropoda, Insecta, Hymenoptera, Halictidae. The record is from RefSeq and is a predicted model, not a curated record.
UCUCUUCGCCUCUUGUACCGAUUUAACAUUUGGACGUCACAAAGAAACACGGGGGACCGUUGUCCUUUUGCCGAUAUUCUUAAAAUGGUUCUCCUCUCCUUUCUCUCUCACGCGGGAAUCCGCUUCGGGCUCAUCGAAACCCGUGUGGCAUGACUCGCGUAGAAAGAUUGCGGCAGGAUUAAAUGGAAGACUGACUAAAAUAUCUUUGCGGGAGUACACACCGAAUGAAACUCGUCGGUUUCGCCUGCAGCAGCGCGGAUAACUUACCGAUCGUCUACCCACACCGUGCAGGUAGGUACGUAACCUAAGAUCCGCCGACAAUGGACACCCGGACCCCCGUGCUAUUCAAACGAUUUUCUCGUGAUCGGUCAAUUCUCUUACGCGUGACCCCCUCCCGUGUUCGUGUUUAUCUUGCAUUGAUGCAAAGAGACGCGCAAUGGCAUUACACUUCCGCUGGCGUUGUCUCGCUGCUUUCCUUUGAAGAAACGCCGUCUCUUGUCGGAACGUCUCCUCCCUAUCUCUUCGGAUACUCUUUCGUGGUAGCUUCACUCGUGUGCACGACUGUGUUCACCGCAGUCGCCUCGCUCGCACGAAGGAUUCGCGCAUGAGACGGAACGAACGUGUGAGUGGCUUGAAUGAUAACCGCGCGUGUUGUCUCAAUGCACGACCAAUACAAUCGGCUUAAUUGAUACGUCCGUCGAUUUGUUCUAAGAGCACGGCCCGACGUCUGAACAAGGAGAUUGCUCAUACCCGUUUUACGAUCUUCGCUUUUUCAAUCGAAUGAAACAACAAACCUUUUAAUUCGAACCAAGUGAAACUUUUUCCAAUUCCUUUUCUUCACAAGACGAAAUACAGGACGUAAUAUUAUUUGUAAUUCAAUACGACUACUUAAUAAGCUAAAGGUGUCUAAAUAAAACAGUGUUAUGCACACACCGAAUAUAAAAAGCAAUAUGUGUAUACCUUGCGAUGGUUGCGCAAUUCAAUUACCGAGAUAAACGUUUCGAUUGAACAGCAACGUAAACCCUUCAACUGAUCCUCUGUGUCAUGUUUUACGCAAGACGUAGAACGGUCGACGCGACGAAAUUUCUAACAGCCGAUCUGCCCCGCAGGCCAAUAGAUCGAUCGAUACGCCCGGCCAGCCACCGAAAACAAACGACAGGCGGCUCUAAAUUCGAUUCGUUUGAGAUCACAGAAUCCAUCCGCGGUACAGUGCGUGUACGCGACGGAGUGUGUAACGGGCCACUGGCUGGUGGAAUUAGUUUCUUUUUUUGAGGCAGGUCACUGACACCGAACGGCGAUGGAUUGACGGCGGCGGGGUCAAGUUCUACGUGCGCUGUCGACAGAGAGCUCUCCGCGUUUAAAGGUAUCGCCGGGCAUUCCUUGCGGGAUAUCGCGUUACUUACGGCACCACGAUCAAUCGACCGAACUCAGUCUUUGGCUAUGCAACGAACGAUGAGAGUCGUAAAUAUCGUUGCGAAAGGCGCGAACGGCGUUGCCCGUGUUUAAUCGUAACUAUAUAUGUUUACCGAGACAGCCAGGAGACGUGAAAAGUUCAAACAAAGCCUAUUGUAAAACCCUAAAGAACAUGAUUUCUCAGAUAAACUAUGUCUGUGGUGAAAGUAUUGCCAUCAGGAGCGUGGAGCUGUAAAUUCUAGAUGGCAUGUUACGGAGAAAUCCAGACCAUUGGAUUGCAGUUUCAGAAAUAAUGAACAAGUACCUCCGAACCUUUCACGAACAUCAUCCUCGUAAACUUCGUCGAAGUCGGCGCUACUGCCUGGAUCGUACUCUCCUUCGAAAGUGAAUGUUCCCGUAUCGCUUUGGGUGCACCCUUCGGUAGAAAUGCAAGGUUCUGUGAACCUGGCCGCUCUCAUAAUUCCAUCGACCAUGUUUACCUCGCAGUAACAUUUACCGAAGCUAUCCGGACAACUGGAAAAGUUCACACCUUUCGUCAUGGGCAAGGAAUUCAAGGUAACUCCCUCAAAGAUGUUCUGGCUCACCAAAAUGAUCCCGGCCCGAUGCAAUCUAUGGCAGGCUUGCCUCUGCGACAUA